This 1926-nucleotide long non-coding RNA is filed under the name Homo sapiens (human). Its description in RNAcentral is "long non-coding RNA NONHSAT198976.1". Lineage: Eukaryota; Metazoa; Chordata; Mammalia; Primates; Hominidae. The record is from RNAcentral.
AAGACAAGAUGAUUUCACUGGAAGCUGAGUUUUGCCAGCUUUGGGGAAAUGCUGAUGCAGAACAUCAUUUAUUUAAGGCUGAUACUCAUGGAUAGAAGAGUCAAAGUGCGAAUAUAUGCACCCUUCUAUACGGAUUCUGCAGAAAGAUAUGCUUGGGUCAUGACUCAGGUGAAUUUCCUAUGAAACUUUGUCUUUGGUAAAGCAUCCCAUUCUUGGCUGUUCCAUAUAUAUAUAUAUGGGUAUAUUUCUUCCUCUUAAAGUGUACCUUCCCUGGAGCUUCAGCCUAAUGCCUGAGGUCCUCAGUGAGGUCCCUCCAUUCUUCCUAUCUAAGCUGAAACUUCAACAUCUUCAGGAGUGUGUGACACCUGGUAUGUCUGCUCAGUUCUGAGCUCUGUAGUGACUCCACUGUUGUGUUUUGGAAAACUUGUCAUGUGCACAUGAAUAAUUUAAUCUUAGAUUAUUAAAUUAUUGACUUUAAUACCGCAUGCUUAACUAAGAUAAUUAACAUCAGAAUAUCAUCUAAGAUUUGUCUUCUUAAAAAUCAAGUUUUACCAGAAUCUUAAUAUGAAUUAUAAAAUUAAUGAUUUUAUUGGGACAGUUUUAGAGAUCUGAUACUUAUUUGUAAUUUGCAAAUAUUCUAAGAUGUUGGUCAUUAGAGAACAUAUAUGAAUAAGUGCAUGUGGUAGUUAGGAGAGUGGAAAUGAAUACAAACUAUUAAUGGGUUGUUGCAGAAUAUUCUGACCUUACUGAAUAAACACACAAUACAUAUGCGCACACAUUCAUAGAAUCAGAAAGUCAUGAAAAGGCUGAAUGUAAAACAAAGAGCAUGAGAGACCCAUGUUCUUAAAUUCUAUUAGUACUAAAACUUCCAGUUAACAUUGUAGAAACAUAUAUAUUAGAGAAUUAUGAAUAAACACAGUCCUUGACGUAUGCACAAUCUGAGUUGAUCAAAGGACACUGGCAGAAACAUUAAAAAACUGUGUAAGAUAUUUCACUGCAAUUUUAUAAAUUUCUUCAGUAUAGUAGUAGUGUUUUCCUACUCAUUACAGGAUCUGGGGCCAUCUGCUUUUAAAAUAAUACCUUGCACAUAAUGGGAGAUCUUUACAUAAAGUUUGAAUAAAUUAAGGAAGAAUUAAUUAGCAAGUCCAUUCCUGCUAUGUCAUUUAAGCAAUUUUUUAUUCAUCAAAACAUACUACUUCAAGCUAAUAUUAAAUGGUUUAUAUUCAUGAAACCAUGGGCUAUUACUUAAUUCCUAGAAUUUACCUGCAAAAAAUCAUUGAUUUAUACACUAUACAAGGUAAUAUUCUGGUUCAUUCUCUGGAACAAAUUGCAACUUAAUUGAAAAUAGUAUGAAAGCUAGUAAGUAUAAUUCAAGUGAAAAGCCUUAAAUUCCAUAAGAAUUAAGAACCUUUGGUAAUUAAUAUACCAAACUUUUGGUAUUUGAAAGUGAAAAGAUGUAUUCCUUUAAGAAAAAUAAUAAAGUUGUCAAGAUGAGGAAGAAUUAAACGUACGUAAUAUUGGGCCCUAAUAGAUGAGUGAUGAUAACAGAAAGUAACGUCAAUCAAGACAACAGAACAGUAUGGGGUGUUUUCAGGGAGUAUUAUUUAAUCAACCUGGCGUUCUAAUGAUAGUGACUAUGAAUUAGCAACCUUACUUUGCCCUAAUGUGAGUGGCUUAUUAGAAGAGGCUCAGGUCAGAAGUGGGAUACUAGUGAGCAAGCUGCUGCUAGAGGUAAUGAGGCAAGAAACAGGAUUUUAACAACAUUAGAGAUCUCGUUAAUUCAAACUAAUGGAAAAAAUUGCAGUAACAUAAAAUGUAAAUCUCUCCAACUUUUAAAUUUAUAAUUGGCAGAGAAGGAGAAGCUAUUGAAGAUCUUGAUGCUUUGAAACUGUAUGAGAGGUGUUGUUAUCAAAAGAACUAGCUAGG